RNAcentral lists this ribosomal RNA (485 nucleotides) under uncultured bacterium. RNAcentral describes it as "bacterial SSU rRNA". It matches the Rfam family "Bacterial small subunit ribosomal RNA", at positions 28 to 507 of the family's 1533-position model. The record is from RNAcentral.
GAUGAACGCUAGCGGCAGGCUUAAUACAUGCAAGUCGUACGGGAUCCGAGGUAGCAAUACUUUGGUGAGAGUGGCGCACGGGUGCGUAACACGUAUGCAACCUACCUAUAACCGGGACACAACCUCGAGAAAUUGAGGCUAAUAUCCCAUAACACUGCGAGAUGGCAUCAUUUUGCAGUUAAAACUCCGGUGGUUAUAGAUGGGCAUGCGCGACAUUAGCUAGUUGGUGAGGUAACGGCCCACCAAGGCUACGAUGUCUAGGGGUUCUGAGAGGAUUAUCCCCCACACUGGUACUGAGACACGGACCAGACUCCUACGGGAGGCAGCAGUAAGGAAUAUUGGUCAAUGGGCGCAAGCCUGAACCAGCCAUGCCGCGUGAAGGAUGACGGCCCUAUGGGUUGUAAACUUCUUUUGUACGGGAAAAAACCUCUGGUCGAGCAUCAGAGCUGAUGGUACCGUAAGAAUAAGCAUCGGCUAACUCCGUG